UACGUAGGGUGCGAGCGUUGUCCGGAAUUAUUGGGCGUAAAGGGCUCGUAGGCGGUCUGUUGCGUCGGGAGUGAAAACUCAGGGCUUAACCCUGAGCCUGCUUCCGAUACGGGCAGACUAGAGGUAUGCAGGGGAGAACGGAAUUCCUGGUGUAGCGGUGAAAUGCGCAGAUAUCAGGAGGAACACCGGUGGCGAAGGCGGUUCUCUGGGCAUUACCUGACGCUGAGGAGCGAAAGUGUGGGGAGCGUACAGG
Molecule: ribosomal RNA, 253 nt
Filed under: uncultured bacterium
Lineage: Bacteria
Description: partial 16S ribosomal RNA
Rfam family: Bacterial small subunit ribosomal RNA
Source: RNAcentral